AGAGGAAUAGUUCAGUGGUAGAAUGUUGGUCUCCAAAACCGAAGACGGGGGUUCGAGUCCCUCUUCCUCUG
RNAcentral lists this transfer RNA (71 nucleotides) under Lachnospiraceae bacterium. Its description in RNAcentral is "tRNA-Trp". It matches the Rfam family "tRNA". Rfam says of the family: Transfer RNA (tRNA) molecules are approximately 80 nucleotides in length. Their secondary structure includes four short double-helical elements and three loops (D, anti-codon, and T loops). Further hydrogen bonds mediate the characteristic L-shaped molecular structure. tRNAs have two regions of fundamental functional importance: the anti-codon, which is responsible for specific mRNA codon recognition, and the 3' end, to which the tRNAs corresponding amino acid is attached (by aminoacyl-tRNA synthetases). tRNAs cope with the degeneracy of the genetic code in two manners: having more than one tRNA (with a specific anti-codon) for a particular amino acid; and 'wobble' base-pairing, i.e. permitting non-standard base-pairing at the 3rd anti-codon position. The record is from RNAcentral. Lineage: Bacteria; Bacillati; Bacillota; Clostridia; Lachnospirales; Lachnospiraceae.